GCGGGCAGCAAGCAGCGGCCUUGGAGCGGCAGCCUGUGAACCCAGUGAAACGGUAGCUCUCCAGGAAACCGCGAGUGCCCAGCACCCCUCCCCGCCGCUCUCAGGGAAGCGCGGGCCGGAGCGAGCCGAGAUGAGGUCUCACUGUGUUGCCCAGCCUAGUCUUGAACACCUGCCUUCGAGUAGUCGUCCCGCCUCGGCCUCCCAAACUGAUGGGAUCUCACAAUGUCACCCAGAAUGGACUGUAGUGGCUGUUCGCAAGUCAUAGUGUACUGCAGCCUCAAACUACUGGCCUCAAGUGAUCUUCCUGCCUUGGCCUCCCAAGUAGCUGGGACUACAGGUGCAUGCCACCACACCCAGCCCCAUGUGGCUUUUGAGCACAUGAUAACAUGGGUAGUUGGCAUUGAGAUGUACUGUAAGUGUAAAAUACA
This is a long non-coding RNA of Microcebus murinus (gray mouse lemur), 428 nucleotides long. RefSeq lists it as uncharacterized. The record is from RefSeq and is a predicted model, not a curated record. Lineage: Eukaryota; Metazoa; Chordata; Mammalia; Primates; Cheirogaleidae.